RNAcentral lists this long non-coding RNA (552 nucleotides) under Carica papaya (papaya). RNAcentral's name for it is "long non-coding RNA (CPAP_LNC003772)". The record is from RNAcentral. Lineage: Eukaryota; Viridiplantae; Streptophyta; Magnoliopsida; Brassicales; Caricaceae.
CCUUUUCUUUUUACUUUUGAAAAAACUAUCAGAAAAUUUUUCUCUCUCCAUUAAAUGUAGCUAACACCAUUUAGGAACACUAAGGUGGUAGGUAAUAUGUCAAGUGACUUAUCACAUUGUUUUAAUUUGUCAGUGCAAAUGCCAUGUCAGCAACACAUCAGGGCCAAUUCCAACAAUUUUGUUUACAAGUAGACCGUCAUUUCUCCAUCUUCAUCUUCAACCUGUUUCGAAUAUAAAAAGCUUCAGAUAUGUUGAAAGCUAAUAGUAACACAACUAUGGAUGUUGUUAACCCAGAGGUUUCUAUUACAUGCAUAAUUUGUCUCAUGUGAGAAACACCUUCCACCUUGCUUUAUUAUGCACUAGGUGCCUCACAUCUGAAAAGCUAGCCAAGUGUGAAGCUUCUAGAGUUUUUGACUCCCCGAAUUAUUCCAAAGAAGUCAUGUUUAGCUCUACCAAAGCCCAUUGACUAUGUCUAAUUUGUGAUUGACAAAGGACACCUGGGGCAACAAUUGUCGUUCAACUAGAGAAAUAUUCUUCUGAUACUUAAUGGUU